RNAcentral lists this transfer RNA (71 nucleotides) under Danio nigrofasciatus (dwarf danio). Its description in RNAcentral is "tRNA-Gln". It matches the Rfam family "tRNA". From Rfam's summary of the family: Transfer RNA (tRNA) molecules are approximately 80 nucleotides in length. Their secondary structure includes four short double-helical elements and three loops (D, anti-codon, and T loops). Lineage: Eukaryota; Metazoa; Chordata; Actinopteri; Cypriniformes; Danionidae. The record is from RNAcentral.
UAGAAAGUGGUGUAGCGGAAGCACUAAGAGUUUUGAUCUCUUGGGUAUGGGUUCGAGUCCCUUCUUUCUAA